This 417-nucleotide ribosomal RNA is filed under the name uncultured bacterium. Its description in RNAcentral is "bacterial SSU rRNA". It matches the Rfam family "Bacterial small subunit ribosomal RNA", at positions 481 to 896 of the family's 1533-position model. The record is from RNAcentral.
GGUGAGGAAGCCCCGGCUAACUCUGUGCCAGCAGCCGCGGUAAUACAGAGGGGGCAAGCGUUGUUCGGAAUUACUGGGCGUAAAGGGCGCGUAGGCGGCCCGCUAAGUCAGACGUGAAAUCCCUCGGCUCAACCGAGGAACUGCGUCUGAGACUGGUGGGCUCGAAUCCGGGAGAGGGAUGCGGAAUUCCAGGUGUAGCGGUGAAAUGCGUAGAUAUCUGGAGGAACACCGGUGGCGAAGGCGGCAUCCUGGACCGGCAUUGACGCUGAGGCGCGAAAGCCAGGGGAGCAAACGGGAUUAGAUACCCCGGUAGUCCUGGCCCUAAACGAUGAAUGCUUGGUGUGGCGGGUAUCGAUCCCUGCCGUGCCGAAGCUAACGCAUUAAGCAUUCCGCCUGGGGAGUACGGUCGCAAGGCUG